RNAcentral lists this small RNA (81 nucleotides) under Salmonella enterica subsp. enterica serovar Enteritidis. Its description in RNAcentral is "partial RtT sRNA". It matches the Rfam family "RtT RNA", at positions 45 to 130 of the family's 130-position model. Rfam says of the family: This family represents a bacterial cis-regulatory element known as RtT RNA. The record is from RNAcentral. Lineage: Bacteria; Pseudomonadati; Pseudomonadota; Gammaproteobacteria; Enterobacterales; Enterobacteriaceae. RNAcentral also lists the same sequence under 1 other name.
GAAUAAAACGUGAAGGAUAACGUUGCGUCAGCAACGGCCCGUAGGGCGAGGCGAAGCCGAGUCAUCCUGCACGACCCACCA